Steccherinum ochraceum is the source of this 82-nucleotide non-coding RNA. NCBI's taxonomy places the organism in Eukaryota, Fungi, Basidiomycota, Agaricomycetes, Polyporales, Steccherinaceae. The record is from the annotation of a GenBank genome assembly.
GCAUUAAUGGGGUAGUGGUAACCUGGGUCGUUGCCACAUUGCGCGGUUCGACCCGCCGGGGGUUCGAUUCCCCCUUAAUGCA